Molecule: long non-coding RNA, 1060 nt
Filed under: Monodon monoceros (narwhal)
Lineage: Eukaryota; Metazoa; Chordata; Mammalia; Artiodactyla; Monodontidae
Description: lncRNA (ENSMMNG00015016448.1)
Source: RNAcentral
CCAAAACUCAGACUCUAAGAAUCAUAACUCGAGGCCGAGGGACCUUCAGAAUUAGGCCACGCUUCUGCAGGCGCUGAAAUUCUUUGUACCCAUGUUGAAUAGGAGUGGUGAGAAGGAACAUCUUCGCCUUGUUCCCGAUCUUAGAGGAAAAGCAUUCAAUCUUUUACCAAAGAAGGAGGAGGAGGAGAAAAAGAAGAAAGAAAAGAAAUAAUCAACAAGGAGGGGGCAAGACGGGGCUUCUGGAGUCCUGGUGAUGUUCUGUUUCUUGAUCUGGGUGUUGGUUACAAGGUAUGUUCACUUUGUGAAAAACUAAUCAAACCAUUCAUUUAUGCUUUAUGCACAUUUCUAUAUGAAUGUUAUAUCCCAGUAACAAAAUUUACUAAAAAGAAGAAAAAAUCAGCCAAGGUAGGGACACCAUUUCUUUCCAAGUAAUAAAAAGUUAUUACUUUCCUGUUUAUUAUUUUGUAUAAUCACAUUGCCCUGCCAAUUUAGUUUCAUGACGUUAGGUGUUCAGGUUUUGUGUGUCUUAAUACAGAAAGGAUUAUAAAAAGAUACAUUUAGCUACUCACACAAGUGCUAUAAGAAUGUCAGCGGAAGCAAUUAUUCAUUGCAAUUAUCAACAUGGACAAUAUUCAACUUGCAACCAAAAUAAAUAGAUGUUUUAAGAGACCUUGGUGGAACAAUCAAAUCAUCAGUCUCAAAAAGUAACCCCAUCUCUCAGCCCAGUUCUGCAACUGCCUGCCAGAGUUUCAAUUCUAUAUUUAUCUCUUCAAAUCAGCAGUAUAGCAAUUAGUUAUUAUAAUAAGAGUUACCAAUUUAUUGUGUGCCGACUUUAUGCCAGGCCCUGCAUUAUCAGAGUUUUUCAUACUUUAAUUGCCUCACUUCAUUUUCACAACAACCCUGCCACAGAGUUGUUUUAUUCUACUUUAUAGUAGAGGAAACUGAGGCAGAGGGGUCCAGGCCCACAUUGCUGGUGAGUGACAGAGCCAGAGAGCCAGCUGGAGUCCCACCCAGUGUGCUUUGCUCUGUCUGGGACCUGACGUCAGUAACAGGAAAUAAG